RNAcentral lists this long non-coding RNA (765 nucleotides) under Bos indicus x Bos taurus (hybrid cattle). Its description in RNAcentral is "lncRNA (ENSBIXG00000015390.1)". Lineage: Eukaryota; Metazoa; Chordata; Mammalia; Artiodactyla; Bovidae. The record is from RNAcentral.
GUCAAACCAAGGAUUUCUUCUCCAUAAGGUCUGCUGCCUGAGGCACAUUUGAUGAUUAUAUUUCUUUCACAAUCAACAGAGUCUCUUUGAGUGCAUACUGUCCUGAGACCUUAUUUUGAAAGGAUUAACAUUUAGAAUGGGAGGAGAGAAAAAGCACCUGAGAAGAGAGCCUCACAAACCGAAGUACCAGGAGUUCUUUUUUGCUGCUCAGUGUCACUGGUUCUCAGGAGAACAAGGUGAAGUCUUCAUGAAUUGCACCACUUUGUACUUGCUCACUUUCGGCACAGAAGCAAUUUUGUAAAUGGUGCACUCAAAUGCUCUGAUGAAGUUAUAACUGAUACAGGCACUGAGACGAAGACGCUGCACUGAAAAAUGGGGCACGUCAAAGGAAACUGAUUCGUAAUCAUAAAAUGUGGAUGAGGAGGCAGAAGUGGUGAGUGUACUGCGGGCUGUCAGUUACCCACUUCCAGGUUUGUCCACAGCCCGAGGGAACCCUAUCUUGUCAGAAGUGCUUGCGGAUGCUAAUCUGUCUACACUUGUUCAAUGUCAAACUGUAUCAGAGGGUUCAGUCUCCUUUUGGACUUCAGCAGUCACCUCCUAGCUCUGUUAGAUCUCCUUUGGUCAAAUGAGCUUUAAAGCUGUCAGGCUCUUCUGUCUCUUUCCCCAUGGAACGGGAAAUGUGGGCAUGUGCUGUUUACCGCUUUUAGCUGUGACCUGAUAGAUCUUUGAUAUGAAAUUCCAGUCACCUCCCGGAAAACACACAAU